Molecule: long non-coding RNA, 690 nt
Organism: Stomoxys calcitrans (stable fly)
Lineage: Eukaryota; Metazoa; Arthropoda; Insecta; Diptera; Muscidae
Exons: 2
Source: RefSeq, a predicted model, not a curated record
CUUUUAUGUCGAACAAUUUUGGCAUUUUUUCCACUCGAAAAUUGUUUGUUGGAAUUAAUCAUUUUAUUAUUUUAUAAAUCCCACUCCUAAUAACUCCAGAUGUCCUUAUCGUGUUAUUGGCCUAAUUAAUUAUACAUUUGGUGAGAGAUUAGCAAAAAAACAUGUGUUUAUUUGCAUUUCCUAACGACCGUAAAAGGUCACUCGCAAUAUGCAGUAAAUCAUUUUGGUACUUAAGGAUUCCCCCACUCAUCUACCUAUCUUACUUUUGUGAUCCCAACGGUGAAUGGCAACAAUACCGCAUAAGAGCCUGCAGGGGGUUAUUAGCAAAAGUCGCAUUGUUAAGAGGAAAUGGAACACACGCGAUGCCACACGAUGUCCUGUCGAUAUGAAAUCCCCUGCAACCGGAUUAUUUGUGUCAUGAUACCCACUCAGGAGUUCCACCCAUGUGUGGUGUAGCAUGAUACUCUGUUAUGCUUGGUGGUGCUGACGUUGACGAUGGUGAUGAUGACAGCGACUGACAUCAAUGAUGUGAGAAGAUAUCAACAAUUAUGUUACCUUGAUAUCACCUUCAUGGCAAGAACAACGGUCGUUGUCUCGUGCUUCAUGAAAUAGUGGUUGUUUUGGCUUAUUAUUAUUGUUUAAAACAAAUGGUUGUCAUGUCCUAAUAAAAUCAAGUAUUAUAUCUCACAA